Molecule: transfer RNA, 67 nt
Filed under: Cornufer vitianus (Fiji ground frog)
Lineage: Eukaryota; Metazoa; Chordata; Amphibia; Anura; Ceratobatrachidae
Description: Platymantis vitianus (Fiji ground frog) tRNA-Ser
Source: RNAcentral
GAGCCUGCUGGGAUGGGCGGGUACUGCUAAUUCCUAGCCUCCAUGGUUCAACUCCAUGGCAUGCUCG